UGGGGAAUAUUGGGCAAUGGGCGAAAGCCUGACCCAGCAACGCCGCGUGAGGGAAGAAGGGUUUCGGCUCGUAAACCUCUGUCCUAUGGGACGAAUAAAUGACGGUACCAUAGGAGGAAGCCCCGGCUAACUACGUGCCAGCAGCCGCGGUAAUACGUAGGGGGCGAGCGUUGUCCGGAAUGAUUGGGCGUAAAGGGCGCGUAGGCGGCCUGUUAAGUCUGGAGUGAAAGUCCUGCUUUCAAGGUGGGAAUUGCUUUGGAUACUGAUGGGCUCGAGUGCAGGAGAGGAAAGCGGAAUUACCGGUGUAGCGGUGAAAUGCGUAGAGAUCGGUAGGAACACCAGUGGCGAAGGCGGCUUUCUGGACUGAAACUGACGCUGAGGCGCGAAAGCGUGGGGAGCAAACAGG
Molecule: ribosomal RNA, 406 nt
Filed under: uncultured prokaryote
Also listed under: 1 other name
Description: bacterial SSU rRNA
Rfam family: Bacterial small subunit ribosomal RNA
Source: RNAcentral